This 333-nucleotide ribosomal RNA is filed under the name uncultured Actinomycetales bacterium. RNAcentral's name for it is "bacterial SSU rRNA". It matches the Rfam family "Bacterial small subunit ribosomal RNA", at positions 568 to 898 of the family's 1533-position model. Lineage: Bacteria; Bacillati; Actinomycetota; Actinomycetes; Actinomycetales. The record is from RNAcentral.
CUCGUAGGCGGUCUGUCGCGUCGGAUGUGAAAAUCCAGGGCUCAACCCUGGACCUGCAUUCGAUACGGGCAGACUAGAGUUCGGUAGGGGAGACUGGAAUUCCUGGUGUAGCGGUGAAAUGCGCAGAUAUCAGGAGGAACACCGGUGGCGAAGGCGGGUCUCUGGGCCGAUACUGACGCUGAGGAGCGAAAGCGUGGGGAGCGAACAGGAUUAGAUACCCUGGUAGUCCACGCCGUAAACGUUGGGCGCUAGGUGUGGGGAACCUUCCACGUUCUCCGUGCCGCAGCUAACGCAUUAAGCGCCCCGCCUGGGGAGUACGGCCGCAAGGCUAAA